GACGAACGCUGGCGGCGUGCUUAACACAUGCAAGUCGAGCGGUAAGGCCCUUUCGGGGGUACGACGAGCGGCGAACGGGUGAGUAACACGUGGGUGACCUCGCCCUCCAGCUCUGGGAGUAAGCCUGGGAAACUGGGUCUAAUACUGGAUAUGACUCCACGGUGCAUGUCGUGGGGUGGAAAGCCUUGUGCGGCUGAGGAUGGGCCCGCGGCCUAUCAGC
This 220-nucleotide ribosomal RNA is filed under the name uncultured bacterium. RNAcentral's name for it is "partial 16S ribosomal RNA". It matches the Rfam family "Bacterial small subunit ribosomal RNA", at positions 28 to 245 of the family's 1533-position model. The record is from RNAcentral.